Hyaena hyaena (striped hyena) is the source of this 480-nucleotide long non-coding RNA. RefSeq lists it as uncharacterized. The transcript has 3 exons. NCBI's taxonomy places the organism in Eukaryota, Metazoa, Chordata, Mammalia, Carnivora, Hyaenidae. The record is from RefSeq and is a predicted model, not a curated record.
CGAGAAUCGCGGUUGCUGGGAGCGCGCUCUGGCGGUGCCGCCUAGUCCGGGGAGACUUAGCUGCCGCGCUCCGGUCGCCUCAGGCUUGGGCUUCCUCGGGUGUUCCUGGCGGCCGACCUCCAAGUUACCCUCAAUCCCCUCUCCCUGGUCUCCAGAUAGGCUGGGGUUUCGUAACACCACUGCCGUUACUCCCAAACACUGGUAGAGCCAUUUGCACCAAAUAAGAAAACAGCCACAAGAAUAAUUCACUACUGGGAGAGAAAUAGCGCAGUCGUGCUCGAAGGAUCGCUAACAUCUGUCUGGAACAUCCCAUCUUAUAAUGGUGACUUCUAUUGCCUGAAAGCCACUGGAAAACCCAAGGACAGGAGAGCUGAGUGGUGCAAAAUUAGAGGUGAGCUUCCCAGCGACAGAGUAGAGCAGAAAAGACCAGAAAACGGAUUCAGGGCUGUGUUAACCAAUAAAGCCGCCACUGGACAAACA